GAUUAAAUGGCUGAAAUUUAGGCAAUAGACUGUAAAUCUAUUUAUGAGGGUUAUUCUCUUUAAUCA
This 66-nucleotide transfer RNA is filed under the name Sarcophaga kentejana. RNAcentral describes it as "tRNA-Tyr". It matches the Rfam family "tRNA". Rfam says of the family: Transfer RNA (tRNA) molecules are approximately 80 nucleotides in length. Their secondary structure includes four short double-helical elements and three loops (D, anti-codon, and T loops). The record is from RNAcentral. Lineage: Eukaryota; Metazoa; Arthropoda; Insecta; Diptera; Sarcophagidae.